Molecule: ribosomal RNA, 195 nt
Filed under: uncultured bacterium
Lineage: Bacteria
Description: partial 16S ribosomal RNA
Rfam family: Bacterial small subunit ribosomal RNA
Source: RNAcentral
CUGGAGUCUGCAACCCGACUCCACGAAGCUGGAUUCGCUAGUAAUCGCGCAUCAGCCACGGCGCGGUGAAUACGUUCCCGGGCCUUGUACACACCGCCCGUCAAGCCAUGGGAGCCGGGGGUACCUGAAGUGCGUAACCGCGAGGAUCGCCCUAGGGUAAAACUGGUGACUGGGGCUAAGUCGUAACAAGGUACC